UACGGAGGGUGCGAGCGUUGUCCGGAUUUAUUGGGCGUAAAGAGCUCGUAGGCGGCUAAGUAAGUCGGGUGUGAAAACUCCAGGCUCAACCUGGAGACGCCACCCGAUACUGCUUUGGCUAGAGUCCGGUAGGGGAGCAUGGAAUUCCUGGUGUAGCGGUGAAAUGCGCAGAUAUCAGGAGGAACACCAGUGGCGAAGGCGGUGCUCUGGGCCGGAACUGACGCUGAGGAGCGAAAGCUAGGGGAGCAAACGGG
RNAcentral lists this ribosomal RNA (254 nucleotides) under uncultured bacterium. Its description in RNAcentral is "partial 16S ribosomal RNA". It matches the Rfam family "Bacterial small subunit ribosomal RNA", at positions 524 to 776 of the family's 1533-position model. The record is from RNAcentral.